CAAUAGCGUAUAUUUAAGUUGUUGCAGUUAAAAAGCUCGUAGUUGGAUUUCGGGUGGGACGCAGCGGUCUCGCAUUGCGUUUGUACUGCUGCAGCCCUCCUUCUUGCCGGGGGCGGCCUCUCGGACUUCACUGUCUGGGGGUCAGAAUCGGCGAUGUUACUUUGAGUAAAUUAGAGUGUUCAAAGCAAGCUUACGCUCUGAAUAUAAUAGCAUGGGAUAACACGACAGGACUCUGGCCUAUCGUGUUGGUCUAUAGGACCAGAGUAAUGAUUAAGAGGGACAGUCGGGGGCAUUCGUAUUCCGUUGUCAGAGGUGAAAUUCUUGGAUUUACGGAAGACGUACAUCUGCGAAAGCAUUUGCCAAGGAUGUUUUCAUUGA
Molecule: ribosomal RNA, 378 nt
Filed under: uncultured eukaryote
Lineage: Eukaryota
Description: partial 18S ribosomal RNA
Rfam family: Eukaryotic small subunit ribosomal RNA
Source: RNAcentral